AGAAUCAACGCUGGCGGCGUGCCUAACACAUGCAAGUCGCACGAGAAAGGGUAGCAAUACCUGAGUAAAGUGGCGCACGGGUGAGUAACACGUGACUAAUCUACCCUCGAGUGGGGAAUAACUGAGAGAAAUCUUAGCUAAUACCGCAUAAUACUUACGAGUCAAAGCAGCAAUGCGCUUGGGGAGGAGGUCGCGGCCGAUUAGCUAGUUGGCGGGGUAAUGGCCCACCAAGGCGAUGAUCGGUAUCCGGCCUGAGAGGGCGCACGGACACACUGGAACUGAAACACGGUCCAGACUCCUACGGGAGGCAGCAGUGGGGAAUUUUGCGCAAUGGGGGAAACCCUGACGCAGCAACGCCGCGUGGAGGAUGAAAUAUCUUGGUAUGUAAACUCCUUUCGAUGGGAAGAUUAUGACGGUACCCAUAGAAGAAGCCCGGCUAACUUCGCGCCAGCAGCCGC
Molecule: ribosomal RNA, 458 nt
Filed under: uncultured bacterium
Lineage: Bacteria
Description: SSU rRNA
Rfam family: Bacterial small subunit ribosomal RNA
Source: RNAcentral